AGUGAACGCUGGCGGUAGGCCUAACACAUGCAAGUCGAACGGCAGCACAGUAAGAGCUUGCUCUUACGGGUGGCGAGUGGCGGACGGGUGAGGAAUACAUCGGAAUCUACUUUUUCGUGGGGGAUAACGUAGGGAAACUUACGCUAAUACCGCAUACGACCUCCGGGGGAAGGCCGGGGAUCUUCGGACCUUGCGGGAUUGAAUGGGCCGAUGUCGGAUUCGCUAGUUGGCGGGGUAAAGGCCCACCAAGGCGACGAUCCGUAGCUGGUCUGAGAGGAUGAUCAGCCACACUGGAACUGAGACACGGUCCAGACUCCUACGGGAGGCAGCAGUGGGGAAUAUUGGACAAUGGGCGCAAGCCUGAUCCAGCCAUACCGCGUGGGUGAAGAAGGCCGUCGGGUUGGAAAGCCCUGUUGUUGGGAAAGAAAAGCAGCAGGUUAAUACCCCGCUGUUCUGACGGUACCCAAAGAAUAAGCACCGGCUAACUUCGUG
RNAcentral lists this ribosomal RNA (492 nucleotides) under uncultured bacterium. Its description in RNAcentral is "partial 16S ribosomal RNA". It matches the Rfam family "Bacterial small subunit ribosomal RNA", at positions 29 to 507 of the family's 1533-position model. The record is from RNAcentral.